AAGUCGUAACAAGGUUUCCGUAGGUGAACCUGCGGAAGGAUCAUUAACACGUAUAACGUUUUAACCAUCCCUCAACCCCCUCUGUGAACCAAAACAUUUUAAAACCUAAAUCCUGCGUUGGCAACAGCGUAGGUCGCUCCAGCUGGUUCGAGCAUUCGUGCCUGUUCUUCAAAGCGUGCGCCUGACUCAAUUUUAUUAUUGAGUGGGGUGGCAGGGCGUCAAAUCAAACCCUUGACUCUUACUACUGAAACCCCCCCCUAACUGAAAGGUGCUUUGCACCCGAAGGUUAAACAAAAAUACAAAAACAACUCUUAACAACGGAUAUCUUGGUUCUC
Molecule: unclassified non-coding RNA, 335 nt
Filed under: fungal sp.
Lineage: Eukaryota; Fungi
Description: partial internal transcribed spacer region
Rfam family: Eukaryotic small subunit ribosomal RNA (bases 1-46)
Source: RNAcentral